GAGAGAGAGAGAGAGCAAGAGAGAGAGAAGGAAAGAGAUGAAACCUGACUGCUCCUAGAGUUGCUGGAGGGAAGGUUCAUUAUGUAGGAACUGAUGCAGACCAGGAUCGCAGAUCCCCCUCUUUGGCACUCAUGUCCAGUCUUCGCGUCAGUGUACAGCCUGACAAGGGCUGGGCAAACCACUGCAGAGAAUGCCUCUAGCUGUGCCGUCCACAGCAGGUGUGUUAUUUCUCUCUGCUGUUACCUCAGGGACAGUGGAUUGUCCAGGAGUGGGAUGCCGGGAAUCCUUACCUUGAGUGACAAGCAGGAGCUAAUCUGCAGCCAGGUCAGGAGAGGUAAGUGAAGUACUAAUUCUGGAGGCAUGAUCCAAAGGGAGCCAGACAUGCCAGUCAUCAAGGUAAAUGUCCAUGGUACCUUCUAUCACAGGCAGGAGCAUGGUACCACUUGUAAUCCCAUCGUGCAGGAGCAGGGGCAGGAGCAUCCCUACACCCUUAAGGCCAUCAGGGACUUCAGGCUACCCAGGCGUACAUGCUAGACUCAGUCUCAAAACACAACAGGAGAAACAGUAUUAUCAUACAUUAUUUU
Molecule: long non-coding RNA, 584 nt
Organism: Mus musculus (house mouse)
Lineage: Eukaryota; Metazoa; Chordata; Mammalia; Rodentia; Muridae
Product: predicted gene, 45991
Exons: 3
Source: RefSeq, a predicted model, not a curated record